Symsagittifera roscoffensis is the source of this 979-nucleotide long non-coding RNA. RefSeq lists it as uncharacterized. The record is from RefSeq and is a predicted model, not a curated record. The transcript has 4 exons. NCBI's taxonomy places the organism in Eukaryota, Metazoa, Xenacoelomorpha, Acoela, Convolutidae.
AGCAUGCUAAGAUGAGUAUCAAGAAUCUGAGAUGGCUGUGUCUAUUUCAAAGCUUAAGGACGCCAGUACUCUCAAACGUGUUCUGUUGCUCAAUUUUUUUGUGGUGGCUCUACAAUAACUACAUAUUCUACUUUGUAAUAUUUCCGCAGACAGAUGUUUUACCUCAAAGUUUGCCGAUUAUUUGCUUAAAUGGAAUGUUUACGUUUGCUUCUUUGAUGUGCUUGUUAUCGUUUUUCCGAUCGAUAAGAUCAUCACCUGGAGUGUGUUCUAAAGAUUACCGUUUUAUUCUGGAAGAAAAAGAAAGAAGCUACUGCGAUAAGUGUCACAUCUACCGACCUAGAAGAACGCAUCAUUGUCGAGUCUGUGGAGUAUGUAUCCGACAAUUCGACCAUCACUGCUUGUGGAUCAAAAACUGCGUGGGAGAAGACAACAAAUGGAUAUUCUCUCUCCUCAUAUUCUACGCCACAGCUCUCACCGUUUUAAUGUUCUGUGCGCUUAUUUAUUACUACUACGAUCGAUGGGGCAAAUCUGAUGACGACGAAGACGAUGGUUGGGAUGACUGGAACCUUGAAGAGGAAGAAAAGACGUAUUUCAAUUCCUUAAAACAAGUUCCCUUCAUUCUUCUACAGCUACAAUUUGUCACCGGUUUUUCUGUCUGCAUUACCCAAUUUUUCUGCCAAAGAACUCACAUGGUAAGAACUGGUUUAACUGGCUUUCAAGUCGCAAUAAACAAAGACCGCCUACCAAAGGUGAAACCCACGCAAAGCUUGUUCGAUUCUCUCUCGGAACUUUUCGGAACGAGCAAUGUACUUCUGUGGUUACUGGGUCCAGUUAGAAGUUACAAGCCUCGAGUUCAACUGUUCUAUCAUAACGAUGAAAAAUAAUCACUCAUUCUGUAAAAAAAACUUCAUAAAAAAAGCUGCAAUAUGAUAAUUGUAAAUAUUGUUUAUAGAUAAUUUGUUGUUGAUAUUUGUAAAUA